This 392-nucleotide ribosomal RNA is filed under the name uncultured bacterium. RNAcentral's name for it is "partial 16S ribosomal RNA". It matches the Rfam family "Bacterial small subunit ribosomal RNA", at positions 523 to 918 of the family's 1533-position model. The record is from RNAcentral.
AUACGUAGGAGGCAAGCGUUAUCCGGAAUUAUUGGGCGUAAAGAGGGAGCAGGCGGCAGCAAGGGUCUGUGGUGAAAGCCUGAAGCUUAACUUCAGUAAGCCAUAGAAACCAGGCAGCUAGAGUGCAGGAGAGGAUCGUGGAAUUCCAUGUGUAGCGGUGAAAUGCGUAGAUAUAUGGAGGAACACCAGUGGCGAAGGGGACGUUCUGGCCUGCAACUGACGCUCAGUCCCGAAAGCGUGGGGAGCAAAUAGGAUUAGAUACCCUAGUAGUCCACGCCGUAAACGAUGAGUACUAAGUGUUGGAUGUCAAAGUUCAGUGCUGCAGUUAACGCAAUAAGUACUCCGCCUGAGGAGUACGUUCGCAAGAAUGAAACUCAAAUGAAUUGACGGGG